Molecule: long non-coding RNA, 1046 nt
Organism: Physeter macrocephalus (sperm whale)
Lineage: Eukaryota; Metazoa; Chordata; Mammalia; Artiodactyla; Physeteridae
Exons: 3
Source: RefSeq, a predicted model, not a curated record
GCGGCAUGUGGGAUCCUCCCAGACCAGGGCUCGAACCCGUGUCCCCUGCAUUAGCAGGCAGAUUCUCAACCACUGCGCCACCAGGGAAGCCCUACAAAUAAGCUCUUUUAAAUUCUAGAGUAAACUAGUUGAGAAGAGAUUUGUAGCUUUAUUAAAAUCUGGUGAAAGGCACAGUACCCACUGGAUCAGGCUCGGGGCAGAGGGUUUCUGUUGCUCAAAUUCUAGUCAUUUCCAGACUCCUACUCAUGUUUUGGCAACUCUGUGAUUAGAACCCAAGGGUUCAGCCUUAAAACUAUGGCUCUGAUGGCCCUGAGUUCUUAGAAAUGCAGUAUGAGAUAUCUAAACGACUCAUCAAGAAUGUGAUAUACAGCUAUGCGCAUACCAUGAAGCCAACAUUGGUAGAACUCACAACUGUCGGGCAUGGUCUUUGUCUUCCUUCAGCUUACACAAAAUCCUGGGAGAUAAGACAAAUAGGGAAAGACAGCUGGAGAGCACACCGGGGUCUUCGCCAGGCCAGGCUGUGUACCAGCUGUAUUUGAAUGGUCUGGUGCUGGGGAUUCAAAGGGAAGACGUCGUAUGUCAGAUCCCAUGUAGUUCAUACUCUACAAAAUAGCCUGGAUUCCACUCAAGUACAAUGUCAACAAAACCAGCAGUGAGAAAAAUUUCACAGCAACUGAGAUGCUAAGCAAAUUUCGCUCACGUAUCACAGUAGUAGUAGGAACUUGGAAGCCCUAAUCCACUCAACGAUUACCGUCAGAUAUUAGGAGAGAGCUUGCCAUCAGUGACGCACAGGCAAUCCCAACGUCCGAAUUGGUCCUGAGAAACUCAUGUGCUCUCUGGCCCCAGUCAUCAGGAACUGAUGGCAUUCCAGAGCCAAAGAAGAGAGUGAAUCAUUUACGACAAGGCUGGGCGCCAACCUUGAGUAUAAGUCACCAACCAAGAAUUCUUUGCUCUUAUCUACUUUUUGGUAAUAGUAAAAACGUCAAGCAUGAAUAAUGAGUGUGCGAUGCCAAGAAUACUUCUCAAAUCAGCAUGGUGGCAACAAA